GGUUAAGCGACUAAGCGUACACGGUGGAUGCCCUGGCAGUCAGAGGCGAUGAAGGACGUGCUAAUCUGCGAAAAGCGUCGGUAAGGUGAUAUGAACCGUUACAGCCGGCGAUGUCCGAAUGGGGAAACCCAGUGCAAUUCGUUGCACUAUCGUUUGAUGAAUACAUAGUCAAACGAGGCGAACCGGGGGAACUGAAACAUCUAAGUACCCCGAGGAAAAGAAAUCAACCGAGAUUCCCCCAGUAGCGGCGAGCGAACGGGGAGCAGCCCGGAGUCUGAAUCAGCUUGUGUGUUAGUGGAAGCGUCUGGAAAGUCGCAGGGUACAGGGUGAUACUCCCGUACACUAAAACGCACAGGCUGUGAACUCGAAGAGUAGGGCGGGACACGUGGUAUCCUGUCUGAAUAUGGGGGGACCAUCCUCCAAGGCUAAAUACUCCUGACUGACCGAUAGUGAACCAGUACCGUGAGGGAAAGGCGAAAAGAACCCCGGCGAGGGGAGUGAAAAAGAACCUGAAACCGUGUACGUACAAGCAGUAGGAGCCCACUUGUUGGGUGACUGCGUACCUUUUGUAUAAUGGGUCAGCGACUUAUAUUCUGUAGCAAGGUUAACCGUAUAGGGGAGCCGCAGGGAAACCGAGUCUUAACUGGGCGUUAAGUUGCAGGGUAUAGACCCGAAACCCGGUGAUCUAGCCAUGGGCAGGUUGAAGGUUGGGUAACACUAACUGGAGGACCGAACCGACUAAUGUUGAAAAAUUAGCGGAUGACUUGUGGCUGGGGGUGAAAGGCCAAUCAAACCGGGAGAUAGCUGGUUCUCCCCGAAAGCUAUUUAGGUAGCGCCUCGUGAAUUCAUCUUCGGGGGUAGAGCACUGUUUCGGCUAGGGGGUCAUCCCGACUUACCAACCCGAUGCAAACUACGAAUACCGAAGAAUGUUAUCACGGGAGACACACGGCGGGUGCUAACGUCCGUCGUGAAGAGGGAAACAACCCAGACCGCCAGCUAAGGUCCCAAAGUCAUGGUUAAGUGGGAAACGAUGUGGGAAGGCCCAGACAGCCAGGAUGUUGGCUUAGAAGCAGCCAUCAUUUAAAGAAAGCGUAAUAGCUCACUGGUCGAGUCGGCCUGCGCGGAAGAUGUAACGGGGCUAAACCAUGCACCGAAGCUGCGGCAGCGACACUAUGUGUUGUUGGGUAGGGGAGCGUUCUGUAAGCCGUUGAAGGUGGCCUGUGAGGGUUGCUGGAGGUAUCAGAAGUGCGAAUGCUGACAUAAGUAACGAUAAUGCGGGUGAAAAACCCGCACGCCGGAAGACCAAGGGUUCCUGUCCAACGUUAAUCGGGGCAGGGUGAGUCGACCCCUAAGGCGAGGCCGAAAGGCGUAGUCGAUGGGAAACAGGUUAAUAUUCCUGUACUUGGUGUUACUGCGAAGGGGGGACGGAGAAGGCUAUGUUGGCCGGGCGACGGUUGUCCCGGUUUAAGCGUGUAGGUGUGUGUUCCAGGUAAAUCCGGUUCACUUUAACACUGAGGCGUGAUGACGAGGCACUACGGUGCUGAAGUGACAAAUGCCCUGCUUCCAGGAAAAGCCUCUAAGCAUCAGGUAACAUCAAAUCGUACCCCAAACCGACACAGGUGGUCAGGUAGAGAAUACCAAGGCGCUUGAGAGAACUCGGGUGAAGGAACUAGGCAAAAUGGUGCCGUAACUUCGGGAGAAGGCACGCUGAUAUGUAGGUGAAGUGGUUUACCCAUGGAGCUGAAAUCAGUCGAAGAUACCAGCUGGCUGCAACUGUUUAUUAAAAACACAGCACUGUGCAAACACGAAAGUGGACGUAUACGGUGUGACGCCUGCCCGGUGCCGGAAGGUUAAUUGAUGGGGUUAUCCGUAAGGAGAAGCUCUUGAUCGAAGCCCCGGUAAACGGCGGCCGUAACUAUAACGGUCCUAAGGUAGCGAAAUUCCUUGUCGGGUAAGUUCCGACCUGCACGAAUGGCGUAAUGAUGGCCAGGCUGUCUCCACCCGAGACUCAGUGAAAUUGAACUCGCUGUGAAGAUGCAGUGUACCCGCGGCAAGACGGAAAGACCCCGUGAACCUUUACUAUAGCUUGACACUGAACACUGGUCCUUGAUGUGUAGGAUAGGUGGGAGGCUUUGAAGUGUGGACGCCAGUCUGCAUGGAGCCAUCCUUGAAAUACCACCCUUUAAUGGCUGGUGUUCUAACGUGGGCCCGUAAUCCGGGUUGCGGACAGUGUCUGGUGGGUAGUUUGACUGGGGCGGUCUCCUCCUAAAGAGUAACGGAGGAGCACGAAGGUCAGCUAAUCCUGGUCGGACAUCAGGAGGUUAGUGCAAUGGCAUAAGCUGGCUUGACUGCGAGCGUGACGGCGCGAGCAGGUGCGAAAGCAGGUCAUAGUGAUCCGGUGGUUCUGAAUGGAAGGGCCAUCGCUCAACGGAUAAAAGGUACUCCGGGGAUAACAGGCUGAUACCGCCCAAGAGUUCAUAUCGACGGCGGUGUUUGGCACCUCGAUGUCGGCUCAUCACAUCCUGGGGCUGAAGUAGGUCCCAAGGGUAUGGCUGUUCGCCAUUUAAAGUGGUACGCGAGCUGGGUUUAGAACGUCGUGAGACAGUUCGGUCCCUAUCUGCCGUGGGCGCUGGAGAAUUGAGGGGGGCUGCUCCUAGUACGAGAGGACCGGAGUGGACGCAUCACUGGUGUUCGGGUUGUCAUGCCAAUGGCAUUGCCCGGUAGCUAAAUGCGGAAGAGAUAAGUGCUGAAAGCAUCUAAGUACGAAACUUGCCCCGAGAUGAGUUCUCCCUGACUCCUUGAGAGUCCUGAAGGAACGUUGAAGACGACGACGUUGAUAGGCCGGGUGUGUAAGCGCAGCGAUGCGUUGAGCUAACCGGUACUAAUGAACCGUGAGGCUUAACCUU
RNAcentral lists this ribosomal RNA (2906 nucleotides) under Klebsiella pasteurii. Its description in RNAcentral is "23S ribosomal RNA". It matches the Rfam family "Bacterial large subunit ribosomal RNA". Lineage: Bacteria; Pseudomonadati; Pseudomonadota; Gammaproteobacteria; Enterobacterales; Enterobacteriaceae. The record is from RNAcentral.